Molecule: ribosomal RNA, 484 nt
Filed under: uncultured bacterium
Lineage: Bacteria
Description: partial 16S ribosomal RNA
Rfam family: Bacterial small subunit ribosomal RNA
Source: RNAcentral
AUUGAACGCUGGCGGCAGGCCUAACACAUGCAAGUCGAGCGGAUGAAGGGAGCUUGCUCCUGGAUUCAGCGGCGGACGGGUGAGUAAUGCCUAGGAAUCUGCCUGGUAGUGGGGGAUAACGUCCGGAAACGGGCGCUAAUACCGCAUACGUCCUGAGGGAGAAAGUGGGGGAUCUUCGGACCUCACGCUAUCAGAUGAGCCUAGGUCGGAUUAGCUAGUUGGUGGGGUAAAGGCCUACCAAGGCGACGAUCCGUAACUGGUCUGAGAGGAUGAUCAGUCACACUGGAAGUGAGACACGGUCCAGACUCCUACGGGAGGCAGCAGUGGGGAAUAUUGGACAGUGGGCGAAAGCCUGAUCCAGCCAUGCCGCGUGUGUGAAGAAGGUCUUCGGAUUGUAAAGCACUUUAAGUUGGGAGGAAGGGCAGUAAGUUAAUACCUUGCUGUUUUGACGGUACCAACAGAAUAAGCACCGGCUAACUUCGUG